AAACCAGUAUUAAAGGCAACGCCUGCCCGGUGNAUAGUUUAACGGCCGCGGUACCCUAACCGUGCAAAGGUAGCGUAAUCACUUGUCUAUUAAUUGUAGACCCGUAUGAAAGGCAUAAUGAGGGUCUAACUGUCUCUUUUAGUAAAUCAAUUAAACUGAUCUCCUAGUCCAAAAGCUAGGAUACCAACAUAAGACCAGAAGACCCUGUGAAACUUUAACUAAACUAUUAAACCCUAUAAUAACUCCUUUAGGUUGGGGCGACCUUGGAAAAAAAAAGAACUUCCAAAUAACAUAUUAAAUAAUAAUAAAGUACAGGCCAACAAGCCUACCUACGACCCAGCACAGCUGAUAACUGAACCAAGCUACUCCAGGGAUAACAGCGCUAUCUUCUUCAAGAGCCCAUAUCAAAAAGAAGGUUUACGACCUCGAUGUUGGAUCAGGACAUCCUAACGGUGCAACCGCUAUUARGGGUUCGUUUGUUCAACGAUUAACAGUCCUACG
Molecule: ribosomal RNA, 501 nt
Filed under: Emydocephalus annulatus (turtle-headed seasnake)
Lineage: Eukaryota; Metazoa; Chordata; Lepidosauria; Squamata; Elapidae
Description: partial 16S ribosomal RNA
Rfam family: Bacterial large subunit ribosomal RNA
Source: RNAcentral